GCUCGGGUGGCGGAAUUGGUAGACGCGCUAGACUCAAAAUCUUGUGAGGGUAACCUCGUGUGGGUUCGAGCCCCACCCCGAGUA
RNAcentral lists this transfer RNA (84 nucleotides) under Flammeovirga agarivorans. Its description in RNAcentral is "Flammeovirga sp. SR4 tRNA-Leu". It matches the Rfam family "tRNA". Rfam says of the family: Transfer RNA (tRNA) molecules are approximately 80 nucleotides in length. Their secondary structure includes four short double-helical elements and three loops (D, anti-codon, and T loops). Further hydrogen bonds mediate the characteristic L-shaped molecular structure. tRNAs have two regions of fundamental functional importance: the anti-codon, which is responsible for specific mRNA codon recognition, and the 3' end, to which the tRNAs corresponding amino acid is attached (by aminoacyl-tRNA synthetases). tRNAs cope with the degeneracy of the genetic code in two manners: having more than one tRNA (with a specific anti-codon) for a particular amino acid; and 'wobble' base-pairing, i.e. permitting non-standard base-pairing at the 3rd anti-codon position. Lineage: Bacteria; Pseudomonadati; Bacteroidota; Cytophagia; Cytophagales; Flammeovirgaceae. The record is from RNAcentral.